UACGUAGGGCGCAAGCGUUAUCCGGAAUUAUUGGGCGUAAAGAGCUCGUAGGCGGCUCAGCAAGUCGGCCGUGAAAACCCGGGGCUCAACUCCGGAUCUGCGGUGGGUACGGGCAGACUAGAGUGAUGUAGGGGAGACUGGAAUUCCUGGUGUAGCGGUGAAAUGCGCAGAUAUCAGGAGGAACACCGAUGGCGAAGGCAGGUCUCUGGGCAUUAACUGACGCUGAGGAGCGAAAGCAUGGGGAGCGAACAGG
RNAcentral lists this unclassified non-coding RNA (253 nucleotides) under uncultured Micrococcaceae bacterium. RNAcentral describes it as "contains 16S-23S intergenic spacer region". It matches the Rfam family "Bacterial small subunit ribosomal RNA", at positions 524 to 776 of the family's 1533-position model. Lineage: Bacteria; Bacillati; Actinomycetota; Actinomycetes; Micrococcales; Micrococcaceae. The record is from RNAcentral.